GGAUGCGAUCAUACCAGCACUAAAGCACCGGAUCCCAUCAGAACUCCGAAGUUAAGUGUGCUUGGGCGAGAGUAGUACUAGGAUGGGUGACCUCCUGGGAAGUCCUCGUGUUGCAUUCA
Molecule: ribosomal RNA, 119 nt
Filed under: Triticum aestivum (bread wheat)
Lineage: Eukaryota; Viridiplantae; Streptophyta; Magnoliopsida; Poales; Poaceae
Also listed under: 1 other name
Source: RNAcentral